AGACCGUUCUCUUCAGAGGCCGGUCAUUGGAAUGGGUACAAUUUAAACCCUUUAACGAGUAUCUAUGAGAGGGCAAGUCUGGUGCCAGCAGCCGCGGUAAUUCCAGCUCUCAAAAUGCAUAGAAUCAUUGCUGCGGUUAAAAAGCUCGUAGUUGGAUCUGUGCUGGCGGGUCGGUCCACCUUCGGGUGCGCACUGAUUUCGCCGGCUUUCCUGCUGUAUUUGGCCCUGUGCCUUUCAACGGGUGCAGUGUCCAGUGCAGCAAGUUUACCUUGAACAAAUCAGAGUGCUUCAAACAGGCGUUUCGCUUGAAUGUUCGUGCAUGGAAUAAUAGAAGAGGAUUUCGGUUCUAUUUUAUUGGUUUUAUAGACUGAGAUAAUGGUUAACAGAGACUAACGGGGGCAUUAGUAUUGCUACGUGAGAGGUGAAAUUCUUGGACCGUAGCAAGACUGACUACAGCGAAAGCAUUUGCCAAGAAAGUCUUCAUUAAUCAAGAACGAAAGUCAGAGGUUCGAAGGCGAUCAGAUACCGCCCUAGUUCUGACCGUAAACGAUGCCAACUAGUGAUCCGCCGGUGGAACAUUCGCCCUGGUGGGGAACUUCCCGGAAACGAAAGUCUUCCGGUUCCGGGGGAAGUAUGGUUGCAAAGCUGAAACUUAAAGGAAUUGACGGAAGGGCACCACCAGGAGUGGAGCCUGCGGCUUAAUUUGACCCAACACGGGAAAACUCACCCGGCCCGGACACCGUAAGGAUUGACAGAUUGAUAGCUCUUUCAUGAUUCGGUGGAUGGUGGUGCAUGGCCGUUCUUAGUUCGUGGAGCGAUUUGUCUGGUUUAUUCCGAUAACGAGCGAGACUCUGGCCUACUAAAUAGUUUACACAUUGCUUCUGUGUGCAUAACUUCUUAGAGGGAUUUUCGGUGUUCAGCCGCAAGAAAUCGAGCAAUAACAGGUCUGUGAUGCCCUUAGAUGUCCGGGGCUGCACGCGCGCUACACUGGCAAAAUCAGCGUGCUUGUCCUUCCCCGAAAGGGGUUGGUAAACUCGUGAAAAUUUGCCGUGAUUGGGAUCGGAAAUUGCAAUUAUUUUCCGUGAACGAGGAAUUCCAAGUAAGUGCGAGUCAUCAACUCGCGUUGAUUACGUCCCUGCCCUUUGUACACACCGCCCGUCGCUGCCCGGGACUGAGCCGUUUCGAGAAACUUGGAGACCGCUGAUCUGGUAACUUCGAUUGCCAUUUUGGUGGGAACCAAUUUAA
Molecule: ribosomal RNA, 1245 nt
Filed under: metagenome
Description: SSU rRNA
Rfam family: Eukaryotic small subunit ribosomal RNA
Source: RNAcentral